Molecule: ribosomal RNA, 1424 nt
Filed under: uncultured Bacteroidota bacterium
Lineage: Bacteria; Pseudomonadati; Bacteroidota
Description: uncultured Bacteroidetes bacterium partial 16S ribosomal RNA
Rfam family: Bacterial small subunit ribosomal RNA
Source: RNAcentral
GAUGAACGCUAGCGAUAGGCUUAACACAUGCAAGUCGAGGGGCAGCACGCUUUCGGGUGGUGGCGACCGGCGCACGGGUGAGUAACGGGUAUGCAACCUGCCUUCAAAUGGGGGAUAACCCGGAGAAAUCCGGACUAAUACCGCAUAGUACUGAGUUACCGCAUGGUAAUUUAGUUAAAGAUUAAUUGUUUGAAGAUGGGCAUGCUUUCCAUUAGGUAGUUGGUAGGGUAACGGCCUACCAAGCCAUCGAUGGAUAGGGGCACUGAGAGGCUUGUCCCCCACACUGGGACUGAGACACGGCCCAAACUCCUACGGGAGGCAGCAGUGGGGAAUAUUGCACAAUGGGGGAAACCCUGAUGCAGCGACGCCGCGUGAAGGAAGAAGUAUUUAGGUAUGUAAACUUCUAUCAGUGGGGAAGAAAAUGACGGUACCCAACUAAGAAGCCCCGGCUAAUUACGUGCCAGCAGCCGCGGUAAUACGUAAGGGGCAAGCGUUAUCCGGAUUUACUGGGUGUAAAGGGAGCGUAGGCGGCAUGGCAAGUCAGAUGUGAAAACCCAAGGCUCAACUUUGGGACUGCAUUUGAAACUGCCAAGCUAGAUUGCAGGAGAGGUAAGUGGAAUUCCUAGUGUAGCGGUGGAAUGCGUAGAUAUUAGGAGGAACACCAGUGGCGAAGGCGGCUUACUGGACUGUAAAUGACGCUGAGGCUCGAAAGCGUGGGGAGCAAACAGGAUUAGAUACCCUGGUAGUCCGCACCGUAAACGAUGAUAACUCGCUGUCGGCGAUAUUACAGUCGGUGGCCAAGCGAAAGCGAUAAGUUAUCCACCUGGGGAGUACGUUCGCAAGAAUGAAACUCAAAGGAAUUGACGGGGGCCCGCACAAGCGGAGGAACAUGUGGUUUAAUUCGAUGAUACGCGAGGAACCUUACCCGGGCUCGAACGGCUAAAGAAUAAUGGGGAAACUCAUUAGUCAGCAAUGACUUUAGUCGAGGUGCUGCAUGGUUGUCGUCAGCUCGUGCCGUGAGGUGUCGGCUUAAGUGCCAUAACGAGCGCAACCCUUAUCAUUAGUUACCGUCGGGUUAAGCCGGGGACUCUAGUGAGACUGCCGCCGUAAGGUGCGAGGAAGGUGGGGAUGACGUCAAAUCAGCACGGCCCUUACGUCCGGGGCGACACACGUGUUACAAUGGGUGGUACAGCGGGUAGCUACUUGGCGACAAGAUGCCAAUCCCGAAAACCACUCCCAGUUCGGAUUGGAGUCUGCAACCCGACUCCAUGAAGCUGGAUUCGCUAGUAAUCGCGCAUCAGCCAUGGCGCGGUGAAUACGUUCCCGGGCCUUGUACACACCGCCCGUCAAGCCAUGGAAGCCGGGGGUACCUGAAGUACGUGACCGUUAAGGAGCGUCCUAGGGUAAAACUGGUAACUGGGGCU